This 440-nucleotide ribosomal RNA is filed under the name uncultured bacterium. Its description in RNAcentral is "partial 16S ribosomal RNA". It matches the Rfam family "Bacterial small subunit ribosomal RNA", at positions 338 to 795 of the family's 1533-position model. The record is from RNAcentral.
CCUACGGGUGGCAGUAGUGGGGAAUAUUGCACAAUGGGGGAAACCCUGAUGCAGCGACGCCGCGUGAAGGAAGAAGUCUUUCUGUAUGUAACCUUCUCUCAGCAGGGAAGAAAAUGACGGUACCUGCCUAAUCAGCCCCGGCUAACUACGUGCCAGCAGCCGCGGUCAUACGUAGGGGGCAGUCGUUAUCCGGAUUUACUGGGUGUAAAGGGCGCGUAGGCGGUGGAGCCAGUCAGAAGUGAAAGCCCGGGGCUCAACUCCGGGACUGCUUUUGAAACUGUUGAACUAGAUUGCAGGAGAGGUAAGUGGAAUUCCUAGUGUAGCGGUGAAAUGCGGAGAUAUUAGGAGGAACACCAGUGGCGAAGGCGGCUUACGGGACUGGAAAUGACGCUGAGGCUCGAAAGCGUGGGGAGCAAACAGGAUUAGAUACCCCAGUAGUC